Molecule: ribosomal RNA, 440 nt
Filed under: uncultured bacterium
Lineage: Bacteria
Description: bacterial SSU rRNA
Rfam family: Bacterial small subunit ribosomal RNA
Source: RNAcentral
UACGGGAGGCAGCAGUGGGGAAUAUUGCACAAUGGGCGCAAGCCUGAUGCAGCCAUGCCGCGUGUAUGAAGAAGGCCUUCGGGUUGUAAAGUACUUUCAGUCGUGAGGAAGGUGUUAAGGUUAAUAACCUUAGCAAUUGACGUUAGCGACAGAAGAAGCACCGGCUAACUCCGUGCCAGCAGCCGCGGUAAUACGGAGGGUGCGAGCGUUAAUCGGAAUUACUGGGCGUAAAGGGCACGCAGGCGGUUAAUUAAGUUGGAUGUGAAAUCCCCGGGCUUAACCUGGGAAUGGCAUUCAAGACUGGUUAGCUAGAGUCUUGUAGAGGGGGUAGAAUUCCAUGUGUAGCGGUGAAAUGCGUAGAGAUGUGGAGGAAUCCGGUGGCGAAGGCGGCCCCUGGGACAAAGGACUGACGCUCAUGUGCGAAAGCGUGGGGAGCAAAC